UGUCCUUAACUGUGCCAUAUAACUUC
This 26-nucleotide non-coding RNA is filed under the name Mus musculus (house mouse). The record is from RNAcentral. Lineage: Eukaryota; Metazoa; Chordata; Mammalia; Rodentia; Muridae.